GAUGAAGAACGUAGCGAAAUGCGAUAAGUAAUGUGAAUUGCAGAAUUCAGUGAAUCAUCGAAUCUUUGAACGCACAUUGCGCCCCUUGGUAUUCCGGGGGGCAUGCCUGUUCGAGCGUCAUUAUAACCCUCAAGCCUAGCUUGGUGUUGGAGCAUGCUACCUAAGCAGCUCUUAAAAUCAGUGGCAGUGCCCUUCGGCUCUAAGCGUAGUAACUUCUCUCGCUAUGGAACCCGGAGGGUACGCGCCAGAACCCCCAACUUUCUAUGGUUGACCUCGGAUCAGGUAGGGAUACCCGCUGAACUUAAGCAUAUCAAAAGCGGAGGA
This 324-nucleotide unclassified non-coding RNA is filed under the name soil metagenome. Its description in RNAcentral is "partial contains 5.8S ribosomal RNA, internal transcribed spacer 2, and large subunit ribosomal RNA". The stretch from base 1 to 120 matches the Rfam family "5.8S ribosomal RNA", at positions 35 to 154 of the family's 154-position model. The record is from RNAcentral.